Papaver somniferum (opium poppy) is the source of this 1519-nucleotide long non-coding RNA. RefSeq lists it as uncharacterized. The record is from RefSeq and is a predicted model, not a curated record. The transcript is spliced from 3 exons. NCBI's taxonomy places the organism in Eukaryota, Viridiplantae, Streptophyta, Magnoliopsida, Ranunculales, Papaveraceae.
GCAGAAACUGGUUUUUAGUUUCAAUCGGAAAGAGAAAACUGGGAAGAACUAUCGAAAUCCACCACCACCAAAUUUAUCGUCCCCACCACCUCCACUUCAAGAUCGUCUCUAAUUCCUCCACCACCUCAACCGAUUUUAUCAACAGUUCCAGCACUACCUCUUAUAUUUCGACCAAACUUCACCACCAGUAACACCACCACCACCUUUUAAAAAAUCGAUUUAGAUCUAUUUUUCCUUGAUUCAACUACAAAACUUAAAUCUAAAGAUGAAUUAACGAGGAACUAAUCUCCAAACCUAAUCUUGAGUCUCGAGCAUGAGAAAUGUAAUUUCAGUGUGAUUCGAGAGAGAGAUUUGAGUGGUUGAGUGGUUCGAUUGAAAUCAUCGUCCACCAACAGGAGUAGCGGAAUUUGAUAAUUGAUCCCGUUCCCAAAUUUUAUGAUUUCGAUUUGAAGAUUCGUAGAGUUGUAUAAGUUGAUCCCGAGAUUAACAAGUAAGAUUGUUGUUUGUUUUAGGUGGUGAAUUUAAUUCUUAUUUUUUGUUGUAUGUUCUAGUGAGAUAUAAGUGCAAUUACAAUUUGGGUCGAGUUAAUGACAACAUACGAGAUUGGGUUGUUGUUGGAUUUUGAGAUGAAGUUGUUGUUGUGGGUUCAGUGCAUUUGGACUCAAUUGAUGCAGAUGAUGGAGGAUAAGUUGAACGGAAGUACUAAUUUAAAUGUUGUUUAAAGCUUACAGGGAAUGAGGAUGAACUCAUUGUGGUGAUGUUGUUAUACUGCGGUGGUUGCUUGAUGAAGCUGAAGCAGAUUUAGCAGUAGUGAUGCCAGAGCUGAAGUUAGAUUAAUGUUUAGGUUGCUGCUGCAAUGGAGGAAAGUGGUGGUGCUUCAGUCUCAGAUGGUGUUGAACUGGUGAUUUAUGUUGCUGCAGUGGGAGGUGGUGGUGUCUUAUAAAAAAUGAUGAGACUGAAGUCAUCCUUGAAUUGACAUUUCAGAUGCAAUAUUGGUGUGUGGUUCAGUUGCUAACAGGAUGUGAUAUUGCAGAUGCGAUAUUGGUGUAUGGCGUGUGUGGUUCAUGUGGUAAUAGAAUGGUUCGAGUGGUAGUAGAAUAUGAUUGAGUUUUGGUGAUGCUACAAAAGAAAAAUUGCAGCUGUUGUUGUUGCUGGAGUUGAGCUAUAAGUUGUGGAACAAGGUUGCAGUUGGUGAAGAAGUGAAAAAAUGAGAGUUGAAGUGCAUAACAGUUUGUUGUUGCAGUUGAAGCUUGGUGAAUAGAGCUGGGUUUGCGGUUGUUAAGUUGAGCUUACUGAUGGACGCGCAACUAGUAUAUGUCAGUUAGUUUUUGCCAAACCAGCUUGUUCUAUACAUUAUAUUUUUUGGAGACAACUUGAGCUAGUUGCCUUCGAUAAGGACACAACAUCGGCAAGUUGACUUCACAUGAUGGUGAUGGAAGCGGUGGUUGCUGGUGGUGAUUGGCGGUGGUGGUGGAGGAAAGUGGUGGUGGUUGUCGGUGAUGGUGGGCAGUGGCGGUGG